RNAcentral lists this ribosomal RNA (497 nucleotides) under uncultured bacterium. RNAcentral describes it as "partial 16S ribosomal RNA". It matches the Rfam family "Bacterial small subunit ribosomal RNA", at positions 28 to 507 of the family's 1533-position model. The record is from RNAcentral.
GAUGAACGCUGGCGGCGUGCCUAAUACAUGCAAGUCGAGCGAACGGACGAGAAGCUUGCUUCUCUGAUGUUAGCGGCGGACGGGUGAGUAACACGUGGAUAACCUACCUAUAAGACUGGGAUAACUUCGGGAAACCGUAGCUAAUACCGGAUAAUAUUUUGAACCGCAUGGUUCAAAAGUGAAAGACGGUCUUGCUGUCACUUAUAGAUGGAUCCGCGCUGCAUUAGCUAGUUGGUAAGGUAACGGCUUACCAAGGCAACGAUGCAUAGCCGACCUGAGAGGGUGAUCGGCCACACUGGAACUGAGACACGGUCCAGACUCCUACGGGAGGCAGCAGCAGGGAAUCUUCCGCAAUGGGCGAAAGCCUGACGGGGCAACGCCGCGUGAGUGAUGAAGGUCUUCGGAUCGUAAAACUCUGUUAUUAGGGAAGAACAUAUGUGUAAGUAACUGUGCACAUCUUGACGGUACCUAAUCAGAAAGCCACGGCUAACUACGUG